Molecule: small nuclear RNA, 323 nt
Filed under: Carlito syrichta (Philippine tarsier)
Lineage: Eukaryota; Metazoa; Chordata; Mammalia; Primates; Tarsiidae
Description: 7SK RNA (ENSTSYG00000020588.2)
Rfam family: 7SK RNA
About the family: 7SK was discovered as an abundant small nuclear RNA in the mid-70s but a possible function has only recently been suggested. Two independent studies have found that 7SK RNA binds the CDK9/cyclin T complex (known as elongation factor P-TEFb).
Source: RNAcentral
AGAUUGCAGGCAAUCUAGCCAUGGCAUCUGUCACCCCAUUGAUCACCAGGGUUGACUCGACUUAUCUGGCUGACUAAGCAGGUGUCUCUUUUCUCCCUCAUCACUCUAUGUGCAUCCUUCCUGAAGCUUCACACUCAAAGAGGAUGACCAUCCCUUCUGGAGGAAGACUAUUCUUCGGCCAAGGGUGUACAAGUAGAUUGCUUCCCUGGUAGAACCUCUGAUCAAGCCCUCAAGAAAAGGCACCUACAAAAGCUAUUAUGAUUGUAAUCUUUGAGAUGAAUAUUCCAAGACUAUGAACUAUGCAAGCCAGAGUUUAAAAACAU